This 72-nucleotide transfer RNA is filed under the name Enterovibrio norvegicus. RNAcentral's name for it is "tRNA-OTHER". It matches the Rfam family "tRNA". Rfam says of the family: Transfer RNA (tRNA) molecules are approximately 80 nucleotides in length. Their secondary structure includes four short double-helical elements and three loops (D, anti-codon, and T loops). Lineage: Bacteria; Pseudomonadati; Pseudomonadota; Gammaproteobacteria; Vibrionales; Vibrionaceae. The record is from RNAcentral. RNAcentral also lists the same sequence under 2 other names.
CAAUUGGUAGCUCAGUUGGUAGAGCGGCGAAAGCAAUUUCGUUUGUCGCGGGUUCAAUUCCCGUCCAAUAAC